GCCAAUAUACCGGGUUCAGGCGCUGCAUACUCGCAUAUGAAUAUUUAGGUUUGCAAACAAACAGAUUCAUACACCCUUCGAGGGAAUUAUCUCUGUGUUUCAAUAUUUCUAUUGGACGGAGAUUUUUAACAUCAUGGACAGGCGUGGGNUUCAUACACCCUUCGAGGGAAUUAUCUCUGUGUUUCAAUAUUUCUAUUGGACGGAGAUUUUUAACAUCAUGGACAGGCGUGGGGGAGAAGGGACACUUGAAUACGCAAAGUGUGCUGAGAGGUCAAUGCUUCGGGAACUGAAAAGGCCUGGGUUGCGUACUACGCCCUCAGUUUCAGGCUAUUAAAAGAAGAAUAUUUCUUUGACUUUGGGAAUCUCAUUCCACCAUUUGAUUUGUCGCUAUAAUAAAACAUUUAUUAUUUAUGUUGUUAAUUUGAACAUUGCGAUUUAUGUUAUUUAGCUCACAGUUGGCCUCCAUAAAAUUAAAUUUUAUUUUUUUAUCUUCUAUUUUCAAUUACACAAUAUUUUAUAAAGUAAUAUUAUACGUAAAUCAAAAAAAUUCCUUUAUUUUCAAUUAUCCAUUUUUCAUUCAUACACCCUUCGAGGGAAUUAUCUCUGUGUUUCAAUAUUUCUAUUGGACGGAGAUUUUUAACAUCAUGGACAGGCGUGGGAGAGAAGGGACACUUGAAUACGCAAAGUGUGCUGAGAGGUCAAUGCUUCGGGAACUGAAAAGGCCUGGGGGUGCGUACUACGCCCUCAGUUUCAGGCUAUUAAAAGAAGAAUAUUACUUUGACUUUGGGAUUCUCA
This 795-nucleotide long non-coding RNA is filed under the name Olea europaea (common olive). RNAcentral describes it as "long non-coding RNA (OEUR_LNC006054)". The record is from RNAcentral. Lineage: Eukaryota; Viridiplantae; Streptophyta; Magnoliopsida; Lamiales; Oleaceae.